This 549-nucleotide ribosomal RNA is filed under the name uncultured bacterium. RNAcentral describes it as "bacterial SSU rRNA". It matches the Rfam family "Bacterial small subunit ribosomal RNA", at positions 356 to 896 of the family's 1533-position model. The record is from RNAcentral.
GGGGAAUCUUCCGCAAUGGACGAAAGUCUGACGGAGCAACGCCGCGUGAGUGAUGACGGCCUUCGGGUUGUAAAGCUCUGUUAAUCGGGACGAAUAGUUCUUGUGCGAAUAGCGCGAGGAUUUGACGGUACCGGAAUAGAAAGCCACGGCUAACUACGUGCCAGCAGCCGCGGUAAUACGUAGGUGGCAAGCGUUGUCCGGAAUUAUUGGGCGUAAAGCGCGCGCAGGCGGAUUGGUCAGUCUGUCUUAAAAGUUCGGGGCUUAACCCCGUGAUGGGAUGGAAACUGCCAAUCUAGAGUAUCGGAGAGGAAAGUGGAAUUCCUAGUGUAGCGGUGAAAUGCGUAGAUAUUAGGAAGAACACCAGUGGCGAAGGCGACUUUCUGGACGAAAACUGACGCUGAGGCGCGAAAGCCAGGGGAGCGAACGGGAUUAGAUACCCCGGUAGUCCUGGCCGUAAACGAUGGGUACUAGGUGUAGGAGGUAUCGACCCCUUCUGUGCCGGAGUUAACGCAAUAAGUACCCCGCCUGGGGAGUACGACCGCAAGGUUG